Molecule: non-coding RNA, 1001 nt
Organism: Dermacentor andersoni
Lineage: Eukaryota; Metazoa; Arthropoda; Arachnida; Ixodida; Ixodidae
Source: RefSeq, a predicted model, not a curated record
AUGGCAGGGGCAUGAGAGCCAUAAGAACGUCAGCUUUUGGUGCAACAUGAAGUAUAUGUUUAGUAAAAGACAAAAUGGACUAGUAAAAUUUGUUGCAUUUAAAUCCUGAAACUUAUGAAGUAUUAAAAGAUAGUCAUUCUGUGCAAAAAUAUUUCAAAUCUGCAAGCUGCAUUGAUUAAGACAUUAAAGUGCACAAAAGAUACUCUGAAGUGACGCUAUUUCGCCAAUACAACUUGAAACUUGUGCAAAGUAGCAAUUCGAUAUAGUUGCAAAUGAAUGAAUUUAUUUGUGCUGUACAUGGUGAUUGCGCAUUUUUGUCUUUAUAGAAAUUUUUGUAAAAGCAGGACUAAGUGGAAAUAUUUAUGGUUGCAAAUUUAGCUCUUUGUGCACAACAAAUUCCUUUCUCCACUGCUUCCAAGCUAGAAAAGUGUUAUUUUUUAACAAAGUUCUGAGACCUGCAAUUGUCAGCUGUGUGUUUCUGCCAUGCUGUUUUUUUACGCUUUCAGGCAUGCUUGUUCUGGGACAAUAUUCUUGGCACCUUUUGCAUCACCAGUUAUUAGGUAAAACAAAGCAGCCACCACCAAGAUUUUGAGGACCAUCAAACUGUGGAGACACCACCACAGGUAGUGGUUAAAAAAAAAGCGACAUGCCUCCUAAUUGAAAAGCAAGUGCACCGAACAAACGAGUCCAAGGUCUGAAAAACAAAAGAAGCAAAGCCUGAUGAAAAAAAAAUGAAACUGCCAUGAAAAUAGGAAGUUCAAAAAACAAAAUUGCUUUCAUGAUGGCACUGCUGUAUUUAUCAUAGUACCUAAUGAUAUCCAGCAAUUGCCCAUGUAGCAGAAACAAACUUACGUGAUUUUCCAAACUCUGAACUGGUUUAUUGCAACAGCAGCAGACCCAACACAUUGGAUAGUGUCUUGAGAACAGCGUUGCUAUGUGCAAGUUUUCGCUACAGUAUUGCUUGCUGGCUUCUAAAAUAAACGUGCAGAUUCCCUCUCAGA